GAUCCUGGCUCGGGAUGAACGCUGGCGGCGUGCCUAACACAUGCAAGUCGAACGGAGUUAUGAUGUGAGCGGGAAGUGCUUGCACUAAACAAUCUUUUCAUAACUUAGUGGCGGACGGGUGAGUAACGCGUGGGUAACCUGCCCUGUACUGGGGGACAACAGUUGGAAACGACUGCUAAUACCGCAUAAGCGCACGGGAUCGCAUGACUCCAGUGUAAGAAAACCGUCCGGUGGUACGAGGAGUCGGACCCGCG
Molecule: ribosomal RNA, 254 nt
Filed under: uncultured bacterium
Lineage: Bacteria
Description: partial 16S ribosomal RNA
Rfam family: Bacterial small subunit ribosomal RNA
Source: RNAcentral